CAGCCGCCGCGGUAAUACCCGCAGCUCAAGUGGUGAUCAUUAUUAUUGGGCCUAAAACGUCCGUAGCCGGUUUGGUAAAUGCCUGGGUAAAUCGUGUAGCUUAACUAUACGAAUUCCGGGUAGACUGCCAAACUUGGGACCGGGAGAGGCUAGAGGUACUCCUGGGGUAGAGGUGAAAUUCUGUAAUCCUAGGGGGACCACCAGUGGCGAAGGCGUCUAGCUAGAACGGGUCUGACGGUCAGGGACGAAGCCCUGGGGCGCGAACCGGAUUAGAUACCCGGGUAGUCCAGGGUGUAAACCCUGCUUGCUUGAUGUUAGUUGGGCUCCGAGCCCAAUUAGUGUCGGAGAGAAGUUGUUAAGCAAGCUCCCUGGGAAGUUCGGUCCCCAGACUGAAACUUAAGGAAAUUGGCGGGGGAACCCACCACCGGGUGGAACGUGCGGUUUAAUUGGAUCCACCGCCGAAAACUCCACCGGAGGCGACGGUUACAUAAAGGCCAGGCUGAUGACCUUGCCUGAUUUUCCGAGAGGUGGUGCAUGCCCGCCGUCAGUUCGUACCGUAAGGCGUUCUGUUAAGUCAGAUAACGAACGAGACCCUCAUCUUUAAUUGCUACUAGUAAGUCCGCUUACUGGGCACAUUAGAGAGACCGCUGGCGAUAAGUCAGAGGAAGGCGGGGGCAACGGUAGGUCAGUAUGCCCUGAAUCCUCCGGGCUACACGCGCGCUACAAAGGCUAGGACAAUGAGUUUCAACACCGAGAGGUGAAGGUAAUCUCGAAACCUAGUUAUAGUUCGGAUUGAGGGUUGAAACUCACCCUCAUGAAGCUGGAAUCCGUAGUAAUCGCAGAUCAACAUCCUGCGGUGAAUAUGCCCCUGCUCCUUGCACACACCGCCCGUCAAACCAUGCGAGUUGGGUUUGAGUGAGGAUGUAGUUUUUGCUACAUUCAAACUUAGGCUUAGUAAGCGGGGUUAAGUCGUAACAAGGUAGCCGUA
RNAcentral lists this ribosomal RNA (988 nucleotides) under uncultured archaeon BURTON-12. RNAcentral describes it as "bacterial SSU rRNA". It matches the Rfam family "Archaeal small subunit ribosomal RNA", at positions 459 to 1451 of the family's 1478-position model. Lineage: Archaea; Methanobacteriati; Thermoplasmatota; Thermoplasmata; Thermoplasmatales. The record is from RNAcentral.